RNAcentral lists this long non-coding RNA (677 nucleotides) under Equus caballus (horse). RNAcentral's name for it is "lncRNA (ENSECAG00000055361.1)". The record is from RNAcentral. Lineage: Eukaryota; Metazoa; Chordata; Mammalia; Perissodactyla; Equidae.
AGAAGAAACAGGAGCUUAGGUGUGGCCAAUGGCAGCUUCACAGGAGGCUAGGUUUGCCGGCUUGCUUUUACAUUUUUGAGGAGGAGGGCUCAAAAAGGAAAACAAUGAAGCAGAACCAGGGCGAGUUCUCCUGUGCCUAGCUUACGAGACAAAGAAGAGCAGUGGGCAUCUCAAAUCCAACUCAUUCAUUGGCCCUGAUUCAGAAGGGGGUCCCACCUGCUGGGUCUGAACAUCCAGCACAGGCAAGAGUCUGAGGAGCAAGACGGGAUCCUGCAGGUGAGCCUGGAGGACCAGCGCCCUGACCCAAGCAGUGGCUGCCUCAGGCCCCGCUCAGGGUGUGAGGAAUGGUAUGGUGAACAAGACAGAGAAGCCGCCAGUCCUGAAGCUCACGGUGGGGAGGCGCCGUGGACUUGGAGGAGUACUGGACACCCCCUGAGGUCCAGCACACGGGCUCCCCAGCAACGAGACGCACGUCAGAUGAUGACUACGUGACCAGAUUAAGACCAGACCCGAGACAGUUAACAGUGUGGUUUUGAUAACGCACAACAAAAAGUUUUUACUGGCGCAAUACAAAACUGAGCCUGUGGCUGGAGCAGGACUUCCCAGUCACCAGGAACCGUUGACAGACAAAAGUAAACCAACAAGACGAUUUCCGAUUUUGGUACAGCACGAUGAAG